GUGAAUCAUCGAAUUUUUGAACGCAAAUUGCACUCUCUUUGGAGAGUAUGCCUGUUUGAGGGUCAGCCUAUAAAAAAUCGAGAUGGUUGCUGUUUCGCGGUGAAGUUCGUCGGGGAUUGGGUCAUCUUACAUCCUUUUGGUUUUAUGCGACUUAAAAUUUUCUUUUUGGUUCAAUGAACGAUUCUAUGAUUUAUUUCUUUAUACGUUUGAGGGUAUUGAUUUUUAUUAGACGUGACCAUCAUAUCGGAU
This 249-nucleotide unclassified non-coding RNA is filed under the name Glomus sp. Its description in RNAcentral is "partial contains 5.8S ribosomal RNA and internal transcribed spacer 2". The stretch from base 1 to 65 matches the Rfam family "5.8S ribosomal RNA", at positions 84 to 154 of the family's 154-position model. Lineage: Eukaryota; Fungi; Glomeromycota; Glomeromycetes; Glomerales; Glomeraceae. The record is from RNAcentral.